RNAcentral lists this ribosomal RNA (803 nucleotides) under Hystrichopsylla dippiei. RNAcentral describes it as "eukaryotic LSU rRNA". It matches the Rfam family "Eukaryotic large subunit ribosomal RNA", at positions 592 to 1106 of the family's 3401-position model. The record is from RNAcentral. Lineage: Eukaryota; Metazoa; Arthropoda; Insecta; Siphonaptera; Hystrichopsyllidae.
AUGGGGAGAUUCAGUGUCGCGAUUGACCGGGACUCGUUCCGUGAUACGCCUUGGUGGCGAGGGCAUGCACUUCUCUCCUAGUAGGACGUCGCGACCCGUUGGGUGUCGGUCUACGACGUAGCCUGUCACGGAUUGGCAGACCCUGCGUGUUCCGGCCGACUGCCCGACGGUAUAGCGUUCGGCCGGUUGCAAGCGCGGACGGUUCUUUCGGCCGUCGGACCUGGUCCGGCACCGAUCCCGCUCGUGCUGUUGGUGAUCGUGUCCUCGAACAGACUCUACCGGUCAGCGAUGCUAUUGCUUUGGGUACUUUCAGGACCCGUCUUGAAACACGGACCAAGGAGUCUAGCAUGUGCGCAAGUCAUUGGGAAUCACAAAACCUAAAGGCGUAAUGAAAGUAAAGGUUCGCUUAUGUGGACUGAGGGAUGAUGCUUUAAUGUAAAGUCGCAAUCCCGGGGCGUCUCACUCUCAUUGCGAGAAGAGGCGCACCUAGAGCGUACACGCUGGGACCCGAAAGAUGGUGAACUAUGCCUGGUCAGGUCGAAGUCAGGGGAAACCCUGAUGGAGGACCGUAGCGAUUCUGACGUGCAAAUCGAUCGUCGGAACUGGGUAUAGGGGCGAAAGACCAAUCGAACCAUCUAGUAGCUGGUUCCCUCCGAAGUUUCCCUCAGGAUAGCUGGCAUUCGAUGAAAGAGUCUCAUCCGGUAAAGCGAAUGAUUAGAGGCCUUGGGGCCGAAACGACCUCAACCUAUUCUCAAACUUUAAAUGGGUGAGAUCUCUGGCUUGCUUGAAUAGUGAAGCCAGAG